CGACAGAUCUUUUAUAGGCGAAACAAAACGAACUCAAUGAAAUUGAUUGUGGAAGACACUCGCAGUUUUGGAACGUAGAAAGAAAGAGAAGACAAAAAAAAAAAGCAAAAAUCAAUUUGUGACAGCAUUAGUUAUACUUUGUGAAGUGCUUGGUUGUACUAACUGAUUCAUGUGACAAAGUGUAGCGUAAUAAAUUUAAAUAAUUUAAAAAAAUUCCCUUGAAGUGUCUUUCGGCAACAUAUUGUGUAUGGAUAUAGUUAUAUAAAUAAGGCGUGCUGCAACAAUAAAGUGUCAACAUAAGGAGAAAAUUAAAAAUUCUGUUGCCGGCCUAAUUUCAAGAAAACACCAAACGUAACAACAACAACAAAAGCAGAAAAACUUCUUUACCAUUGAAAGGCAACGCAGGAAAUACCAAAGCUUAAACGCAACUCGAAUUUGUUUAUGUAAUCCAAAAUUAAACAACAACAGCAACAAAAAGCGCACAUCAAAUUUUAUUUUCGGGAAGAAUUCUCUGCUAGAAAUUCAAACUAAAAGAUUCGAGUUCUUGUGCCUUAGCAAAUUAUAGUGAUUAAACUGACGCAAAUUUGUUGAAAAACUUUAACCGCAAAGUGUCCGCAAAUAGAAAUUGAAAACUGUGCACAAUGUCGGAAGCUGAAACUGCCGUUAAUCCCGCCACCACCACCGCCAGCGUCGAGGCGGAGCAGGAGCCGGAAAAGACCGUCACUCAAACGGUGGACGAGGAUGAGGAUAUGAAGGAGGAGGUCUCCGCCGAAACGGAGAAAAUGAUUACCGAAACGGUUGACGAGGACGGCGAUGUGGUCGAGGAGACCACCGAGGUUACGCGUAAAACCAUUAAGCGCACUAUGAAAAUUACUGAGACUUCAUCGACAACCAAGACCUCCACUCUCACUACGCCUGCCAAAUUGUACGGCAAGGAUUUGAGCGAGUAUGAUGAGGUUGAUGUUGAUGCUCUGCUGGCGCAAUUGUCACCGGAAGAAAUCAAUAUUUUGGCCAAAGAAGUCGAUCCCGAUGACAAUUUCCUGCCACCCGAUCAACGUUGCAGUUAUGAAUGCGACAAAGAUCCCACUGGUCCGUUGAAUCGCAAAAAGCUUAUCGAGCAUAUUAAUAAGCAGGCCUUAGAAACACCCGAUGAGCCCGAAUUUGAGCCGUAUGUCAAGGGUACAGUACGUGGCAAGAAAUGGGUACCACCACCAAGAGAUGAAAGUGAAGUUGCCGCUGAGGAACAGAUCGCCAUCGAUUUGGGUGAAGAGUAUGAGCAUGCGCUGAGCGAUGCCACACAAGAAGAGAUUAUCGAUCUGGCUGCUAUUCUUGGCUUCCACUCGAUGAUGAAUCAGGAUCAAUACCAUGCUUCUUUGUUGAACAAAGGUCAACCAGUUGGCAUGGGAUGGGAUGGUAUUACAAAAUCAACUCAACCAAAAUUGUUCCCCAUGGACCCACCAAAUAACACAGAUGUCGAAGAAUCAAUUAAACGCGUAAAAGAUAACGAUUCAAAAUUAAUUGAACUGAACUUAAAUAACAUUAAGAACAUUUCCGAUGAGAAAUUGGAACAACUUUUCCAAGUACUGCCUGAAAAUGAAAAUUUGGAAGUUCUUUCCUUAACAAAUGUCGGCCUUACCGACAAGACAGCUCUCUUACUGGCUGAAGCAAUUGAGAAAAGCAAAACCUUGAGAGUAUUAAAUGUUGAGACGAAUUUCAUUAGUCCGCCUGUUAUAGUGACCUUAGUGAAAGCCCUGCUCAAGUGCCGCACAAUUGAAGAGUUCAGGGCCUCCAAUCAACGAUCCUCAGUGCUCGGUAACAAGAUCGAAAUGGAAAUAACCGAAUUAGUGGAAAAGAAUCCAUCAUUGCUCAGAUUGGGUCUGCAUUUGGAGUUCAAUGACGCACGUCACAGAGUUGCCGCACAUUUGCAGCGCAAUAUCGACAGAAUAAGAAAAGAUCUUGAGUUACGUCUGCAGUUCAGAUUUUUCAAUAAUCUGCACAGAAAGUCAACAAGAAUUCAAUAAAAUAAUGAAUGAUCUUAAUAAAAAUAUAUUUAUAUGUAUAAUGAUUGAAGUAAAAGAAAAUAAAAAUAAAAAAAAAACUAUUUACUAAAUAUAUAACGCACUCGUAAGUUAAGACAAAUAAGUACGCGUUUGAUGCAAGCAAAUGAUAGCGAAAAGAAGACGUGCAAACGCCGCAAGGAUAACCAGCCUAUAUAUUUAUAUAUAUAAUAUAUACACCUAGAAAGAGUAAGAGAAAAGCUAAUUCGUCAUUAAAGGAUGCUGCCGACUAUAUCAGACUAUAAUUGCGCGGCUAGCGAGUUAAUUUCUGCACAUAAACGCUUAAUUUAGACUUUAGCGCACUUUUGCACAAAUAAAAGGCGCGAAUUUAACAAAGGAUAUGGCGAAAAACUGCUCAAAUCGAAUAUAAAUUAAACUAACCUCGUUGAAAAUCAAAAAUAAUGGACAACAAAAAUUCUGAGAAAUGGAAAAAAGAAGUCAAAAAACAACAGUACACAGUGUCCAAAACAACGUGAAACACACAAAAGCACACAAACAGUAAAAAUAGACAGAAACUAUAAAUGAAAUCAAAGAAGAAUUAUAUUUUAACAAAAAAAAAAUGAUAAAAAAUACUUAGGAUUAAUUUAAAUCAUAUUCAUAAAUGCAUAAAUAAAUUUCAUACACAACCCACAAAAAAAAAUAUAUGCGAGGUGUAUGGCGAAUGAAAGAAGCCGAUGGACGUAAAGAAGACGAAAGCUGAUACUGAUAUUGAUUUAUAAAACCAAAAACGAAGUUUCGAGAAACUCAAAAUGAUUUCUAGGAGUAAAUAUUUAUAUAAUAAACAAGUACGUGUAAAUCGCCUGAACCAGCGUAAAUAAACUGUGUGAACCAACCAACCAACCAACUAGCCACUUUGUUGUUCACCUUAAUUUGCAAAGCCAACCGUAAACAAAUAGAAAACCUCUACAAUAUACAUACAUACAUAAUUCUCUACUACUUACAUAAUAUGUGUGUCGUUGAAACAAAAACUAAGUAGAACAAAAACAAAAAAAAACAUUGUCAAACUCUUUUUGUAUUAUUGAAUGAAUGUUUUGUAAAUCAUGUUAAAGCAAUGAAAAAAAAAAA
Molecule: unclassified non-coding RNA, 3122 nt
Filed under: Bactrocera latifrons
Lineage: Eukaryota; Metazoa; Arthropoda; Insecta; Diptera; Tephritidae
Description: tropomodulin, transcript variant X4
Source: RNAcentral